UCGGGAAUUUUGGGCAAUGGGCGAAAGCCUGACCCAGCAACGCCGCGUGAAGGAUGAAGUAUUUCGGUAUGUAAACUUCGAAAGAAUAGGAAGAAUAAAUGACGGUACUAUUUAUAAGGUCCGGCUAACUACGUGCCAGCAGCCGCGGUAAUACGUAGGGACCAAGCGUUGUUCGGAUUUACUGGGCGUAAAGGGCGCGUAGGCGGCAAUUCAAGUCAUCUGUGAAAUCUCCGGGCUUAACUCGGAACGGUCAGAUGAUACUGCUUUGCUAGAGUGCAGAAGGGGCAAUCGGAAUUCUUGGUGUAGCGGUGAAAUGCGUAGAUAUCAAGAGGAACACCUGAGGUGAAGACGGGUUGCUGGGCUGACACUGACGCUGAGGCGCGAAAGCCAGGGGAGCAAACGGGAUUAGAUACCCAGGUAGUCCCUGAGCGGGCUGGCAAGGCG
RNAcentral lists this ribosomal RNA (444 nucleotides) under uncultured bacterium. Its description in RNAcentral is "bacterial SSU rRNA". It matches the Rfam family "Bacterial small subunit ribosomal RNA", at positions 355 to 822 of the family's 1533-position model. The record is from RNAcentral.